RNAcentral lists this ribosomal RNA (1017 nucleotides) under uncultured bacterium. RNAcentral describes it as "bacterial SSU rRNA". It matches the Rfam family "Bacterial small subunit ribosomal RNA", at positions 357 to 1376 of the family's 1533-position model. The record is from RNAcentral.
AGGAAUAUUGGUCAAUGGACGAGAGUCUGAACCAGCCAAGUAGCGUGAAGGAUGACUGCCCUAUGGGUUGUAAACUUCUUUUAUACGGGAAUAAAGUUAGCCACGUGUGGCUUUUUGUAUGUACCGUAUGAAUAAGGAUCGGCUAACUCCGUGCCAGCAGCCGCGGUAAUACGGAGGAUCCGAGCGUUAUCCGGAUUUAUUGGGUUUAAAGGGAGCGUAGGCGGGUUGUUAAGUCAGUUGUGAAAGUUUGCGGCUCAACCGUAAAAUUGCAGUUGAUACUGGCGACCUUGAGUGCAACAGAGGUAGGCGGAAUUCGUGGUGUAGCGGUGAAAUGCUUAGAUAUCACGAAGAACUCCGAUUGCGAAGGCAGCUUACUGGAUUGUAACUGACGCUGAUGCUCGAAAGUGUGGGUAUCAAACAGGAUUAGAUACCCUGGUAGUCCACACAGUAAACGAUGAAUACUCGCUGUUGGCGAUAUACGGUCAGCGGCCAAGCGAAAGCAUUAAGUAUUCCACCUGGGGAGUACGCCGGCAACGGGUGAAACUCAAAGGAAUUGACGGGGGCCCGCACAAGCGGAGGAACAUGUGGUUUAAUUCGAUGAUACGCGAGGAACCUUACCCGGGCUUAAAUUGCAACUGACUGAACCGGAAACGGUUCUUUCUUCGGACAGUUGUGAAGGUGCUGCAUGGUUGUCGUCAGCUCGUGCCGUGAGGUGUCGGCUUAAGUGCCAUAACGAGCGCAACCCUUAUCGAUAGUUACUAGCAGGUCAUGCUGAGGACUCUAUUGAGACUGCCGUCGUAAGAUGUGAGGAAGGUGGGGAUGACGUCAAAUCAGCACGGCCCUUACGUCCGGGGCUACACACGUGUUACAAUGGGGGGUACAGAAGGCAGCUACACGGCGACGUGGUGCUAAUCCCGAAAGCCUCUCUCAGUUCGGAUUGGAGUCUGCAACCCGACUCCAUGAAGCUGGAUUCGCUAGUAAUCGCGCAUCAGCCACGGCGCGGUGAAUACGUUCCCG